Molecule: long non-coding RNA, 219 nt
Filed under: Vicia faba (fava bean)
Lineage: Eukaryota; Viridiplantae; Streptophyta; Magnoliopsida; Fabales; Fabaceae
Source: RNAcentral
AUGCGUCCACCCUUCCUCGCCGAAAAUAUUCCUCCUGUGACCAGAAUCACUUCAUAUCACCGGAAUUUUGCUGAAAAAUACAGCCUCUCCUUUGUUUCGCCCAUAGAAGGUUGUUAUUCCUCCAAAAAUCACGAAUCUUCCUUUAAAUCUGCUAUUCAAUGUGGUUGUUGUUUUUAUUUUCAAACUAAGUUUUUGAUAAUUCUUCUCAAGAUCUACUAA